RNAcentral lists this long non-coding RNA (644 nucleotides) under Malus domestica (apple). RNAcentral's name for it is "long non-coding RNA (MDOM_LNC014142)". Lineage: Eukaryota; Viridiplantae; Streptophyta; Magnoliopsida; Rosales; Rosaceae. The record is from RNAcentral.
UUGAAAAAUUGCAACAGCAACUUCUUUUUCUCUUUUCUAGUUUGUUGUUUACAGGUCUGUGUAUGGUCUUGAGCUGUUGUUUUUGUAGCUUAUUUGCAAACCAUCGAUUGUACCAUUUACUAACCGAACCAGCCAAUAAUUUUGGUUGAACCAAUUUUUGGCAACUGCAAGAAGAUGGCUAGCUAGUGGUAACUGAUUUUCUGUAAUUAUGUAUAUGUGGCUGGCAGGUGACAUAAGGAAUUUGGCAUGGUUUGCCAACCAAACCCAGCCCUAGAGAUGUCCAUUAAAAAAAUCAAGAUUAGUUGUGAGGUUCAGACCACAUCGAACUUCAACGAUCCGAACCAGACUUACAAAAUAAACAGCUUGAAUCGUUGAAGUUCAAUGUAGUUCGCACCCCACAACUAAUUUCCAUUUAGAAAAGAUGAGAUUCCAUUCACUUAAAGGCCUCCUAUUAUGUAUACACGAAUAAUAUAAUAGGGUAAAUUACACAAAACUACCUCAACUAUUGGUCUCACGACACUUUCAUACCUCAUCUUUUUAAAAUGACAAUGUCAUACCUCAUCUUAUGAAUUUGUGCCAAUGUCAUACCUCUGUCAGUUUUUCUAUUAAUUUCUCUGUUAAGUGCUGACGUGGCUACAUGCGAG